Molecule: ribosomal RNA, 453 nt
Filed under: uncultured Sphingobacteriales bacterium
Lineage: Bacteria; Pseudomonadati; Bacteroidota; Sphingobacteriia; Sphingobacteriales
Description: bacterial SSU rRNA
Rfam family: Bacterial small subunit ribosomal RNA
Source: RNAcentral
CAAGCGGAGGAACAUGUGGUUAAUUCGAUGAUACGCGAGGAACCUUACCUGGCUUAAAUGUAGAGUGCAUUUUUUAGAGAUAGAAAUUCCCUUCGGGGCUUUCUGCAAGGUGCUGCAUGGUUGUCGUCAGCUCGUGCCGUGAGGUGUCGGGUUAAGUCCCAUAACGAGCGCAACCCUUAUCGUUAGUUGCCAGCUGGUAAAGCAGGGGACUCCAGCGAAACUGCCACCGUAAGGUGAGAGGAAGGUGGGAUGACGUCAAAUCAGCACGGCCCUUAUGUCCAGGGCUACACACGUGUUACAAUGGCCGGCACAGAGGGCAGCUACCUGGUGACAGGAUGCUAAUCUCGAAAACCGGUCUCAGUUCGGAUCGAAGUCUGCAACUCGACUUCGUGAAGCUGGAUUCGCUAGUAAUCGCGCAUCAGCCAUGGCGCGGUGAAUACGUUCCCGGGCCUU